UUGAUCCUGGCUCAGGAUGAACGCUGGCGGUGUGCCUAAGGUAUGCAAGUCGAACGGUCCUUAUGAUUAUCAUUUGGACAGUGGCAGACUGGUGAGUAACGCGUGGAUAAUCUGCCCCGAAGAUGAGGAUAGCUCGCCGAAAGGUGAGGUAAUCCUCAAUGGUGUGGGAAGUACAUAUGUACAUCCCACUAAAGCUUUAGCGCUUCGGGAUGAGUCUGCGUCCUAUCAGCUUGUUGGUAGAGUAAAGGUCUACCAAGGCUAAGACGGGUAACUGGUCUGAGAGGAUGGUCAGUCACAGUGGCACUGAAACACGGGCCACACUCCUACGGGAGGCAGCAAUUAGGAAUCUUGCACAAUGGAGGAAACUCUGAUGCAGCGACACCGCGUGAAGGAUGAAGACCCUCGGGUUGUAAACUUCUUUUAUAAUCUAACAAGUUCUGAGUGGAGUAUGAAUAAGCACCUGCUAACUGCGUGCCAGAAGCAUCGGUGAAGCGUGGGGUGCGAGCGUUAUCCGGAUUUAUUGGGCGUAAAGAGAUGCGUAGGCGUUUUGGUAAGUCUUCUGUCAAAGCCUUCGGCCUAACCGAAGAAAGGCAGAGGAUACUAUCAGAAUUGAGACAGAGAGGGGGAAGUGGAAUUCCCGGUGGAGCGGUGAAAUGCGUUGAUAUCGGGAGGAACACCAGUGGCGAAGGCAACUUCCUGGCUCUGUUCUGACGCUGAGGCUCGAAAGCGUGGAGAGCAAAGCGGAUUAGAUACCCGUGUAGUCCAUGCUGUAAACGUUGGAUACUGGACGUUUGG
This 795-nucleotide ribosomal RNA is filed under the name uncultured organism. Its description in RNAcentral is "bacterial SSU rRNA". It matches the Rfam family "Bacterial small subunit ribosomal RNA", at positions 13 to 827 of the family's 1533-position model. The record is from RNAcentral.